RNAcentral lists this ribosomal RNA (253 nucleotides) under uncultured bacterium. RNAcentral's name for it is "partial 16S ribosomal RNA". It matches the Rfam family "Bacterial small subunit ribosomal RNA", at positions 524 to 776 of the family's 1533-position model. The record is from RNAcentral.
UACGUAGGGGGCAAGCGUUGUCCGGAAUCAUUGGGCGUAAAGCGCGUGUAGGCGGCUCGAUAAGUCUGCUGUGAAAGUCCAAGGCUCAACCUUGGGAUGCCGGUGGAUACUGUCGAGCUCGAGUCCGGAAGAGGAGUGUGGAAUUCCUGGUGUAGCGGUGAAAUGCGCAGAUAUCAGGAAGAACACCCGUGGCGAAGGCGGCUCUCUGGGACGGUACUGACGCUGAGGCGCGAAAGCGUGGGGAGCAAACAGG